Molecule: ribosomal RNA, 465 nt
Filed under: uncultured bacterium
Lineage: Bacteria
Description: partial 16S ribosomal RNA
Rfam family: Bacterial small subunit ribosomal RNA
Source: RNAcentral
CCUACGGGUGGCAGCAGUGGGGAAUAUUGCGCAAUGGGCGAAAGCCUGACGCAGCGACGCCUCGUGAGGGAUGAAGGUCUUCGGAUCGUAAACCUCUGUCAGCAGGGAAGAACGGUCACUGUGCUAAUCAGCAGUGAAUUGACGGUACCUGCAAAGGAAGCACCGGCUAACUACGUGCCAGCAGCCGCGGUAAUACGGAGGGUGCGGGCGUUAAUCGGAAUUACUGGGCGGAAAGCGCUCGUAGGCGGUAUGUCAAGUCAAGGGGGAAAUCCCCGCGCUCAACGUGGGAACUGCCUUUGAAACUGGCAAACUGGAGUGUGUGAGAGGAUAGUGGAAUUCCAGGUGUAGGAGUGAAAUCCGUAGAUAUCUGGAGGAACAUCAGUGGCGAAGGCGACUAUCUGGCACAUAACUGACGCUGAGGAGCGAAAGCGUGGGUAGCAAACAGGAUUAGAUACCCCAGUAGUC